RNAcentral lists this non-coding RNA (24 nucleotides) under Mus musculus (house mouse). Lineage: Eukaryota; Metazoa; Chordata; Mammalia; Rodentia; Muridae. The record is from RNAcentral.
AUCCCGGUGCAAUGAGACUAGCCU